GCCUGGAUAGCUCAGUUGGUUAGAGCGUGGUGCUGAUAAUGCCAAGGUUGCAGGUUUGAUCCCUGGGACAGCUGCA
This is a non-coding RNA of Podarcis lilfordi (Lilford's wall lizard), 76 nucleotides long. The record is from the annotation of a GenBank genome assembly. Lineage: Eukaryota; Metazoa; Chordata; Lepidosauria; Squamata; Lacertidae.